UGCAUGCGUUAUGAGCGAUCGACU
RNAcentral lists this non-coding RNA (24 nucleotides) under Arabidopsis thaliana (thale cress). The record is from RNAcentral. Lineage: Eukaryota; Viridiplantae; Streptophyta; Magnoliopsida; Brassicales; Brassicaceae.